This 608-nucleotide ribosomal RNA is filed under the name uncultured bacterium. RNAcentral's name for it is "bacterial SSU rRNA". The stretch from base 1 to 518 matches the Rfam family "Bacterial small subunit ribosomal RNA", at positions 338 to 873 of the family's 1533-position model. The record is from RNAcentral.
CCUACGGGAGGCAGCAGUGGGGAAUAUUGGACAAUGGGCGAAAGCCUGAUCCAGCAAUGCCGCGUGAGUGAUGAAGGCCUUAGGGUUGUAAAGCUCUUUUACCAGGGAUGAUAAUGACAGUACCUGGAGAAUAAGCUCCGGCUAACUCCGUGCCAGCAGCCGCGGUAAUACGGAGGGAGCUAGCGUUGUUCGGAAUUACUGGGCGUAAAGCGUACGUAGGCGGUUAUUCAAGUCAGAGGUGAAAGCCUGGAGCUCAACUCCAGAACUGCCUUUGAAACUAGAUAGCUAGAAUCUUGGAGAGGUGAGUGGAAUUCCGAGUGUAGAGGUGAAAUUCGUAGAUAUUCGGAAGAACACCAGUGGCGAAGGCGACUCACUGGACAAGUAUUGACGCUGAGGUACGAAAGCGUGGGGAGCAAACAGGAUUAGAUACCCUGGUAGUCCACGCCGUAAACGAUGAUAACUAGCUGUCGGCUCUACGAGCUUGAGUGGCGCNGCUACGACAUUAAGUUAGUUCCGUCCGUCGGGUAGGUACGGUCGCGAGAGUUAAACGUACGUAAGUUAAGUUAGUAGGCGUUGAGAGNGCCGACGGACGACGACGAGGGAGGAGG